RNAcentral lists this ribosomal RNA (492 nucleotides) under uncultured bacterium. RNAcentral describes it as "partial 16S ribosomal RNA". It matches the Rfam family "Bacterial small subunit ribosomal RNA", at positions 29 to 507 of the family's 1533-position model. The record is from RNAcentral.
AGUGAACGCUGGCGGUAGGCCUAACACAUGCAAGUCGAACGGCAGCACAGUAAGAGCUUGCUCUUACGGGUGGCGAGUGGCGGACGGGUGAGGAAUACAUCGGAAUCUACUUUUUCGUGGGGGAUAACGUAGGGAAACUUACGCUAAUACCGCAUACGACCUACGGGUGAAAGCAGGGGAUCUUCGGACCUUGCGCGAUUGAAUGAGCCGAUGUCGGAUUGGCUAGGUGGCGGGGGAAAGGCCCACCAAGGCGACGAUCCGUAGCUGGUCUGAGAGGAUGGUCAGACACACUGGAACUGAGACACGGUCCAGACUCCUACGGGAGGAAGCAGUGGGGAAUAUUGGACAAGGGGGGCAAGCCUGAUCCAGCCAUACCGCGUGGGUGAAGAAGGCCUUCGGGUUGUAAAGCCCUUUUGUUGGGAAAGAAAAGCAGCAGGUUAAUACCCCGCUGUUCUGACGGUACCCAAAGAAUAAGCACCGGCUAACUUCGUG